This 76-nucleotide transfer RNA is filed under the name Bacillus sp. PK3_68. RNAcentral's name for it is "tRNA-Lys". It matches the Rfam family "tRNA". From Rfam's summary of the family: Transfer RNA (tRNA) molecules are approximately 80 nucleotides in length. Their secondary structure includes four short double-helical elements and three loops (D, anti-codon, and T loops). Lineage: Bacteria; Bacillati; Bacillota; Bacilli; Caryophanales; Bacillaceae. The record is from RNAcentral.
GAGCCAUUAGCUCAGUCGGUAGAGCAUCUGACUUUUAAUCAGAGGGUCGAAGGUUCGAGUCCUUCAUGGCUCACUA